This 421-nucleotide long non-coding RNA is filed under the name Sinocyclocheilus anshuiensis. RNAcentral's name for it is "lncRNA (ENSSANG00000033147.1)". Lineage: Eukaryota; Metazoa; Chordata; Actinopteri; Cypriniformes; Cyprinidae. The record is from RNAcentral.
AUGCCUACAUGGGCAAAAGCAAUGCUUGGUAUAGGUGGUGUGGCGGGUGUGGUUGGAGUUCUGUGCCUUGUGUAUUUCAAGUAUUUCAAGAAACGCUCAGACCAUGAAAAGGUUGAAAAAAAGGACGAGGAUGGAUUAUAACUCCCUCACAUACCUGGUAAGGACCAUGGGAACUAUGCAGCUUUCUCGAAGACAAAAAGUCUUCUCCUACUUCCUCCUUGUAACGUCACAAAAGAGUUUCUGAACAUCAUACAAGCCAUCAUUGCCAUUUAAAUAUCCCAAAAUAUAAAAAUUUCAGAACAAGUCAGUUAAGACUUUAGGAUUGUGGAGGAUUUUUGAGUUUUGAAGGUUCUUCCUCAUCAUGUAUUUAGCAUAUCCAUACAUGCAUAUGCAUAUUGUCAUUUAUUCAUCAACUACCCCG